UACGGAGGGGGCUAGCGUUGUUCGGAAUUACUGGGCGUAAAGCGCACGUAGGCGGCUUUGUAAGUUAGAGGUGAAAGUCCAGGGCUUAACCCUGGAAUUGCCUUUAAGACUGCAUCGCUAGAAUCGUGGAGAGGUGAGUGGAAUCCGAGUGUAGAGGUGAAAUUCGUAGAUAUUCGGAAGAAACACCAGUGGCGAAGGCGACCCACUGGACACGUAUUGACGCUGAGGUGCGAAAGCGUGGGGGAGCAAACAGGAUUAAGAAACCCUGG
Molecule: ribosomal RNA, 269 nt
Filed under: uncultured bacterium
Lineage: Bacteria
Description: partial 16S ribosomal RNA
Rfam family: Bacterial small subunit ribosomal RNA
Source: RNAcentral